GAUGAACGCUGGCGGCGUGCCUAAUACAUGCAAGUCGAGCGAACGGACGGGAAGCUUGCUUCUCUGAUGUUAGCGGCGGACGGGUGAGUAACACGUGGAUAACCUACCUAUAAGACUGGGAUAACUUCGGGAAACCUGAGCUAAUACCGGAUAAUAUUUUGAACCGCAUGGUUCAAAAGUAAAAGACGGUCUUGCUGUCACUUAUAGAUGGAUCCGCGCUGCAUUAGCUAGUUGGUAAGGUAACGGCUUACCAAGGCAACGAUGCAUAGCCGACCUGAGAGGGUGAUCGGCCACACUGGAACUGAGACACGGUCCAGACUCCUACGGGAGGCAGCAGUAGGGAAUCUUCCGCAAUGGGCGAAAGCCUGACGGAGCAACGCCGCGUGAGUGAUGAAGGUCUUCGGAUCGUAAAACUCUGUUAUUAGGGAAGAACAUAUGUGUAAGUAACUGUGCACAUCUUGACGGUACCUAAUCAGAAAGCCACGGCUAACUACGUG
Molecule: ribosomal RNA, 497 nt
Filed under: uncultured bacterium
Lineage: Bacteria
Description: partial 16S ribosomal RNA
Rfam family: Bacterial small subunit ribosomal RNA
Source: RNAcentral